RNAcentral lists this ribosomal RNA (490 nucleotides) under uncultured bacterium. RNAcentral's name for it is "partial 16S ribosomal RNA". It matches the Rfam family "Bacterial small subunit ribosomal RNA", at positions 29 to 505 of the family's 1533-position model. The record is from RNAcentral.
AGUGAACGCUGGCGGUAGGCCUAACACAUGCAAGUCGAACGGCAGCACAGUAAGAGCUUGCUCUUACGGGUGGCGAGUGGCGGACGGGUGAGGAAUACAUCGGAAUCUACUUUUUCGUGGGGGAUAACGUAGGGAAACUUACGCUAAUACCGCAAACGACCUACGGGUGAAAGCAGGGGAUCUUCGGACCUUGCGCGAUUGAAUGAGCCGAUGUCGGAUUAGCUAGUUGGCGGGGUAAAGGCCCACCAAGGCGACGAUCCGUAGCUGGUCUGAGAGGAUGAUCAGCCACACUGGAACUGAGACACGGUCCAGACUCCUACGGGAGGCAGCAGUGGGGAAUAUUGGACAAUGGGCGCAAGCCUGAUCCAGCCAUACCGCGUGGGUGAAGAAGGCCUUCGGGUUGUAAAGCCCUUUUGUUGGGAAAGAAAAGCAGCAGGUUAAUACCCCGCUGUUCUGACGGUACCCAAAGAAUAAGCACCGGCUAACGUCG